UAAUUGAAGAGUUUGAUCAUGGCUCAGAUUGAACGCUGGCGGCAGGCCUAACACAUGCAAGUCGAGCGGUAGCACAGGAGAGCUUGCUCUCUGGGUGACGAGCGGCGGACGGGUGAGUAAUGUCUGGGAAACUGCCUGAUGGAGGGGGAUAACUACUGGAAACGGUAGCUAAUACCGCAUGACCUCG
Molecule: ribosomal RNA, 187 nt
Filed under: Rahnella inusitata
Lineage: Bacteria; Pseudomonadati; Pseudomonadota; Gammaproteobacteria; Enterobacterales; Yersiniaceae
Description: partial 16S ribosomal RNA
Rfam family: Bacterial small subunit ribosomal RNA
Source: RNAcentral